This 74-nucleotide transfer RNA is filed under the name Rattus norvegicus (Norway rat). It matches the Rfam family "tRNA". From Rfam's summary of the family: Transfer RNA (tRNA) molecules are approximately 80 nucleotides in length. The record is from Rfam by way of RNAcentral. Lineage: Eukaryota; Metazoa; Chordata; Mammalia; Rodentia; Muridae.
GGGGAUUUAGCUCAGUGGUAGAGCGCUUGCCUGCUUAGCAAGCGCAAGGCCCUGGGUUCGGUCCCCAGCUUCCA